Molecule: long non-coding RNA, 1334 nt
Filed under: Chrysemys picta bellii (western painted turtle)
Lineage: Eukaryota; Metazoa; Chordata; Testudines; Emydidae
Description: lncRNA (ENSCPBG00000016634.1)
Source: RNAcentral
AGAGUCAGAAAGUGUAUUCUGUUACAUUACUAUCCGUUCACCCUUAUAUAAUCUCCUUGGGGCUGUCCCUGUUCAUUUAGGAGCAGGAGCCUGAUUUCCAAGCUGUUACUUUCCCUGCCUCCAGUACGCACCUCGCCCCGUGUCCAGACUACAGGUCCACAUUAAGAGUUCUAUUUCCUCUGCUUCCACUUCAUUCUGAUCGUCCGCAGCUUCUGCCUAACUCAGCGGGGCUUCAACCCACUGCUGGGCUACCAGACCCUUUUCCUGCGGAGGUUCCAGCCCGGCGCACGGCUCUUCAUUCCCUGGGAAGCAGGUUUCUCCCCUCCUCCAGUAUAAUCCCACGGGGCAUAAUUCACGUUGUCCGGGACCAGACUGCCCAUACUUGUGCCGUGCCCCGCCCCCCUCCUCCUCGGACAGUGACACACAACGGGAUCCAGUGUCUCCAGGGGCUGGAUCUGGUAAUGGCAGACUGCUUAUUUCUAGCAUUACCAAUGUUGCCUUACAUAGCUCCCAUGAACUACUGUGGCUUAGGUGUCUUCACUUCUCUGAAGUACAGAGUCCAGUUGAUGGUGCAUCCCAGAAUUGUCAUCCAAAUGAUGUUCUCUAGGAAAGGUCAGAUACAUUCCAGAGAUGGAGGAGCCAAGGAAGGAGGAAAAGCAGCCUGAGAACAAAGGGCCUCAGACCACAGAAGGGCAGACACAAGAGUGCCUCAUAACGAAGCAGAAGGGAGAUCAUAGUUGCUGCUGCUUCUGAGUGGAGACAAUGUUCUGUCAUGCAAGGUUGGGGAUUGUGGAGAUCAGCAGCUCCAGCAAGGCAAAGAAGCUCUGUUUGGCAGUUGCUAUCUCUUCUGUCAUUACAAGUACUGUGGCCCUUUCUGAUGUCUCUGUGUGCAUCCUGUCGAAGUCCUCACACUUCUGUUUGCUACACAAAUAAGCCACCACCUCUUGCAGCUCUCUUACCAGCUUCCUGAGAGACUCCACUAACAGACACCUCUUACACCUAGUGGUUCUCCCUGCCUGGCUUUUGCUGGCCUCCAAAGGCAGUUUGCCUGUCUGACAGGGGGAGGCAGAGGAAGAGCUAGCAGUGGUGUUGGCAACAUGCCAUUUUCCUCCCAUGCUGGGUUCUUCCUGUACCUUCAAGCUAAGGAAACAGAAAGCAACACAAGUCUACCUCCUUGCCUCCCUCCAGUGGUGAACAUGGAAAAUCCCCAGUGGAAGAACAGAAAGAGAAAAUGUCAGACUAUUUUCAGAAGAGUCAAGCAAGCUGUCUAAACAAAGGGUGCUAUUCCAUCACUACAAACAGAAGAUACAGCUGGAGGAGGGGGAGCAGAAAGG